RNAcentral lists this ribosomal RNA (279 nucleotides) under uncultured bacterium. RNAcentral describes it as "partial 16S ribosomal RNA". It matches the Rfam family "Bacterial small subunit ribosomal RNA", at positions 506 to 784 of the family's 1533-position model. The record is from RNAcentral.
UGCCAGCCGCCGCGGUAAUACGGAGGGUGCGAGCGUUAAUCGGAAUUACUGGGCGUAAAGCGUACGCAGGCGGCCAUUUGAGUCAGAUGUGAAAGCCCCGGGCUCAACCUGGGAACUGCAUUUGAAACUGGAUGGCUAGAGUGCGACAGAGGGUGGUAGAAUUUCAGGUGUAGCGGUGAAAUGCGUAGAGAUCUGAAGGAACAUCAGUGGCGAAGGCGACCUCCUGGACUGAUAUUGACGCUGAGGCGCGAAGGCGUGGGUAGCGAACGGGAUUAGAUA